ACUCAACAUUACACUUUUUAAAAAGGGUGAGUUUCGGUUGUAAGAGCAGGCCUUCUUGUCAAGGAUCCUCGCGCAGCUGGUUAGCCCUAAACCUGUUUUUAGGAGUUU
Molecule: small RNA, 108 nt
Filed under: Aureicoccus marinus
Lineage: Bacteria; Pseudomonadati; Bacteroidota; Flavobacteriia; Flavobacteriales; Flavobacteriaceae
Description: 6S-Flavo RNA
Rfam family: 6S-Flavo RNA
Source: Rfam by way of RNAcentral